UACGUAGGGUGCAAGCGUUGUCCGGAAUUAUUGGGCGUAAAGAGCUCGUAGGCGGUCUGUUGCGUCGGCUGUGAAAACCCGGGGCUCAACCCCGGGCCUGCAGCCGAUACGGGCAGACUAGAGUUCGGCAGGGGAGACUGGAAUUCCUGGUGUAGCGGUGAAAUGCGCAGAUAUCAGGAGGAACACCGGUGGCGAAGGCGGGUCUCUGGGCCGAUACUGACGCUGAGGAGCGAAAGCGUGGGAGCGAACAGG
This 252-nucleotide ribosomal RNA is filed under the name uncultured bacterium. Its description in RNAcentral is "partial 16S ribosomal RNA". It matches the Rfam family "Bacterial small subunit ribosomal RNA", at positions 524 to 776 of the family's 1533-position model. The record is from RNAcentral.